UACGUAGGGGGCAAGCGUUGUCCGGAUUUAUUGGGCGUAAAGAGCGUGUAGGCGGCCAGACAGGUCUGCUGUGAAAACUCGAGGCUCAACCUCGAGACGCCGGUGGAAACCGUCUGGCUAGAGUCCGGAAGAGGGAAGCGGAAUUUCCGGUGUAGCGGUGAAAUGCGUAGAUAUCGGAAGGAACACCAGUGGCGAAAGCGGCUUCCUGGUCCGACACCGACGUUCAGGCACGAAAGCGUGGGGAGCAAACAGG
RNAcentral lists this ribosomal RNA (253 nucleotides) under uncultured bacterium. RNAcentral's name for it is "partial 16S ribosomal RNA". It matches the Rfam family "Bacterial small subunit ribosomal RNA", at positions 524 to 776 of the family's 1533-position model. The record is from RNAcentral.